RNAcentral lists this ribosomal RNA (508 nucleotides) under uncultured bacterium. RNAcentral's name for it is "partial 16S ribosomal RNA". It matches the Rfam family "Bacterial small subunit ribosomal RNA", at positions 29 to 523 of the family's 1533-position model. The record is from RNAcentral.
AACGAACGCUGGCGGCAGGCCUAAUACAUGCAAGUCGAACGAGAAAGUUCUUCGGAAUGAGUACAGUGGCGCACGGGUGAGUAACACGUGGGUGACCUACCCUUUAGCGGGGAACAACAGAGAGAAAUUUCUGCUAAUACCGCAUACGUUGUGCAAAUUUGGAAAUAGCACAAGAAAGUGGGCUUCGGCUCACACUAAAGGAUGGGCCCGCGGGGCAUUAGCUAGAUGGUGGGGUAAUGGCCUACCAUGGCAACGAUGUCGAACUGGUCUGAGAGGAUGACCAGUCACACUGGAACUGAGACACGGUCCAGACUCCUACGGGAGGCAGCAGUAGGGAAUCUUGCGCAAUGGGGGCAACCCUGACGCAGCCAUGCUGCGUGAGUGAGGAAGGCCUUCGGGUUGUAAAGCUCUGUCCUAUGGGAAUAAUGACAUUAGGGUUAAUACCCCUAGUGUUUGAAGGUACUAUAGAAGAAAGCACCGGCUAACUUCGUGCCAGCAGCCGCGGUAA